RNAcentral lists this transfer RNA (69 nucleotides) under Cavia porcellus (domestic guinea pig). It matches the Rfam family "tRNA". From Rfam's summary of the family: Transfer RNA (tRNA) molecules are approximately 80 nucleotides in length. Their secondary structure includes four short double-helical elements and three loops (D, anti-codon, and T loops). Further hydrogen bonds mediate the characteristic L-shaped molecular structure. tRNAs have two regions of fundamental functional importance: the anti-codon, which is responsible for specific mRNA codon recognition, and the 3' end, to which the tRNAs corresponding amino acid is attached (by aminoacyl-tRNA synthetases). tRNAs cope with the degeneracy of the genetic code in two manners: having more than one tRNA (with a specific anti-codon) for a particular amino acid; and 'wobble' base-pairing, i.e. permitting non-standard base-pairing at the 3rd anti-codon position. Lineage: Eukaryota; Metazoa; Chordata; Mammalia; Rodentia; Caviidae. The record is from Rfam by way of RNAcentral.
GGGGAUAGAGCUCAGCGGCACAGCACCUGCCUGGCAAGCACAAGGUCUUGGGUUCAAUUCCCAGUGCCA